UGGGGAAUUUUGGACAAUGGGGGAAACCCUGAUCCAGCCAUCCCGCGUGUGCGAUGAAGGCCUUCGGGUUGUAAAGCACUUUUGGCAGGAAAGAAACGUCAUGGGUUAAUACCCCAUGAAACUGACGGUACCUGCAGAAUAAGCACCGGCUAACUACGUGCCAGCAGCCGCGGUAAUACGUAGGGUGCAAGCGUUAAUCGGAAUUACUGGGCGUAAAGCGUGCGCAGGCGGUUCGGAAAGAAAGAUGUGAAAUCCCAGAGCUUAACUUUGGAACUGCAUUUUUAACUACCGGGCUAGAGUGUGUCAGAGGGAGGUGGAAUUCCGCGUGUAGCAGUGAAAUGCGUAGAUAUGCGGAGGAACACCGAUGGCGAAGGCAGCCUCCUGGGAUAACACUGACGCUCAUGCACGAAAGCGUGGGGAGCAAACAGG
RNAcentral lists this ribosomal RNA (429 nucleotides) under Acidobacteriota bacterium. Its description in RNAcentral is "Acidobacteria bacterium partial 16S ribosomal RNA". It matches the Rfam family "Bacterial small subunit ribosomal RNA", at positions 355 to 776 of the family's 1533-position model. The record is from RNAcentral. Lineage: Bacteria; Pseudomonadati; Acidobacteriota.